This 277-nucleotide ribosomal RNA is filed under the name uncultured prokaryote. RNAcentral describes it as "partial 16S ribosomal RNA". It matches the Rfam family "Bacterial small subunit ribosomal RNA", at positions 524 to 800 of the family's 1533-position model. The record is from RNAcentral.
UACGGAGGAUCCGAGCGUUAUCCGGAUUUAUUGGGUUUAAAGGGUGCGCAGGCGGAAGAUUAAGUCGGUGGUGAAAUUUUGCAGCUCAACUGUAAAAGUGCCAUUGAUACUGGUUUUCUUGAGUGUGGAUGAAGUAGGCGGAAUUUGUGGUGUAGCGGUGAAAUGCGUAGAUAUCAGGAGGAACACCGGCGGCGAAGGCGACUUUCUGGACGAUAACUGACGCUGAGGCGCGAAAGCGUGGGGAGCAAACAGGAUUAGAUACCCCCGUAGUCCCUGA